RNAcentral lists this ribosomal RNA (519 nucleotides) under uncultured eukaryote. RNAcentral describes it as "SSU rRNA". It matches the Rfam family "Eukaryotic small subunit ribosomal RNA", at positions 1161 to 1704 of the family's 1831-position model. The record is from RNAcentral.
AGGGCACCACCAGGAGUGGAGCCUGCGGCUUAAUUUGACUCAACACGGGGAAACUCACCCGGCCCGGACACCGGAAGGAUUGACAGAUUGAUAGCUCUUUCUUGAUUCGGUGGAUGGUGGUGCAUGGCCGUUCUUAGUUGGUGGAGCGAUCUGUCUGGUUAAUUCCGAUGACGAACGAGACUCUAGCCUAUUAAAUAGACGUCGGGUUCUCUGCACUCGACGGUCUUCUUAGAGGGACAAGGUGCUUUUAGCACCGCGAAACAGAGCAAUAACAGGUCUGUGAUGCCCUUAGAUGUCCGGGGCCGCACGCGCGCUACACUGAAGGAAGCAGCGUGUAACAACCUUGUUCUAACGAACUGGGUAACCCGUGGAACUUCCUUCAUGAUUGGGAUAGGGGUUUGCAAUUGUGCCCCUUGAACGAGGAAUUCCCAGUAAACACUAGUCAUCAGCUAGUGCUGAUUACGUCCCUGCCCUUUGUACACACCGCCCGUCGCUACUACCGAUUGAAUGGUUUAGUGA